CGUCCCGCCCGACCUCCACCCUUUGUGUGUUUAACUACCUUGUGUGCUUUGGCGGGACCGCUCGGUCUCGAGCCGCUGGGGAUUCGUCCCAGGCGAGCGCCCGCCACAGAUAAACCAAACUCUUGUUAUUAAACCGGUCGUCUGAGAUAAAAUUUUGAAUAAAUCAAAACUUUCAACAACGGAUCUCUUGGUUCUCGCAUCGAUGAAAAACGCACCGAAAUGCGAUAAGUAAUGUGAAUUGCAAAAUUCAGUGAAUCAUCGAAUCUUUGAACGCACAUUGCCCCCCUUGGUAUUCCGAGGGGCAUGCCUGUUCGAGCGUCUUUACACCACUCAAGCUAUGCUUGGUAUUGGGUGCCGCCCUUAGUUGGGCGCGCCUUAAAAACCUCGGCGAGGCCUCACCGGCUUUAGGCGUAGUAAAAUUUAUUCGAACGUCUGUCAAAGGAGAGGACUUCUGCCCACUGAAACCUUUUAUUUUUCUAGGUUGACCUCGGAUCAGGUAGGGAUACACGCUGAACUUAUCCAUAUCAAUAAACGCGAGGAG
Molecule: ribosomal RNA, 541 nt
Filed under: Aureobasidium pullulans
Lineage: Eukaryota; Fungi; Ascomycota; Dothideomycetes; Dothideales; Saccotheciaceae
Description: eukaryotic LSU rRNA
Rfam family: 5.8S ribosomal RNA (bases 168-321)
Source: RNAcentral